UUCACGAAGCUAUUGAGCAAUUGUUUUGCCGAAGAGCAUGGAAAUCCUGAUCGUGAGUCUUAAUUAAUGCUGCUUGCAAGUCUGCUAAGGAUAUUGCAGAUGUAGAACCGUUCCUUAUACAUCCUAUACGAACGGCCUAUCUUGCAAUUUCUCAAUAUUUUACAAUAAAAUUAUGAAUUAUCCCAGUUGUGCUUGUAAUCGCCAAAAAGGUCAGAGAAAAUUUCAUUAUUUUUUUUUUUGUCGGAACCUUUACAAGCAAUUUAAAAAUUUUCUUCUUUAUAGAUCUCUAAUUAUGGUUGUAUAAAUUAUGUAAACGUCCAUUAACAAGGUAGAUAGCACGUGGACAAUAGAACUUAUUCGCAAUAAUCUCAUUUGAUUCUUAACCAGGACAUGCAGUACGAGGGAACAGAAGAGAUAAAGUAGCAAGAAAACGAGAUAAUAAGUAGCGGCAAAAUUGGUUUAAUAAGCAGUUUGUAAAACUUGUGAAAAUCAUUUACUUCAUCAUUUGAUCGCCAUGGUAAUCUUUUUUCGUUGCUUUUAUAAUUAAUUUCUUUACCAAUUCUAAAUUCCCUAAUAAUUUUAAGCUUUCAUUCAUUAUAAAGAUCCACUGCUGUGCAAAAUUACUCCGGCCACCAAAUCAAUUCUGCUGGUGCUAAACAAAAGAUCAUGGGUGAUAACCUAUUGAUUGCUGUAUAAAAUUCUUCGGAUGGCAUUAUCAAGUCUUUCGGAGGCAUAACCAGUGAGAAUGAGUUCUUCAAUUAACAAUACCCAUAAAACCUUAGGAGCAUUGCAUCAUCUUUCUUCUUUUUGGAUUGGCAGGGACUGAGUUAUUUGAGCAGUUUCUUGGUAUUAUUAGUUGUUCAUAAUAAGUCUUCAUAUUUGUUGGUUCAGGAUCUUAACAAGGGAAGACUAGACUGCUUUUAUGACCUCAAUGCAGUACUACAUAUUCUGAAUUUAGGAUAUUUUCUUUCAUGUAAGAAAGUGUUAGUAUGUUCUAUCAUUUAUAUACGUGAUUUUUUCAAGAAUACAAUAAGUUUUAUAGUCCGAAAAAAUGAUACUACUGAAAUUAUGAAAUACUUCUCUCAGUCAUUAUUUCAAGUUCAAUUUGUGGUUAUGAAUUGCAGAUAGUUUAUGUUAUUUUAUCUAUAUUAUCAAAGAAAUACACAUAUUUUCAUCUGUUGCUUUAAUGAAGAUCCUUUACUUAUAAUUUAUAACUAUUUGCUCCCUGCAGUGACUCCUGAUUUGGUUGUUUGAGAUAGCAAUUUAGAAUGUCAGUCGGCGAAAAAGCAAAUGUGAAUACAUGUAUGAUGUUCACUCUUUUUCAACUUUUUCUAAAAGAUGAAAUUGCUAUUAUUGUAAAAUGAAUUCCCUGUAAAUUCAGAAAUUCUUUGAUUCUAUGGGCAUAAAUAAGAUUAGCUUCACAAGCAACUGAGCAAGCCCGUGUACCUUAGCUGUUCUUUUCUUUCAUGGUAUCACAGAGGUAUUGUUGUGAUGAAUUCAACCGUUGAUAAUAUACAACAACAACAAUCAAGUAUAAUCCCACAAGUGGGGUAUGAGGAAAG
Molecule: long non-coding RNA, 1562 nt
Filed under: Nicotiana tabacum (common tobacco)
Lineage: Eukaryota; Viridiplantae; Streptophyta; Magnoliopsida; Solanales; Solanaceae
Description: long non-coding RNA (NTAB_LNC007711)
Source: RNAcentral